ACGAACGCUGGCGGCGUGCCUCAUGCAUGCCAGUCGCACGCGGCACCUUCGGGUGCUGAGUGGCGAACGGCUGAGGAACACGUGGGGACCUGUCCGGGAGUGGGGGACAACACCGCGAAAGCGGUGCUAAUCCCGCAUACGCUCUGAGGAGGAAAGCCGAAAGGCGCUCCCGGGUGGCCCUGCGGCCCAUCAGGUUGUUGGUGGGGUAACGGCCUACCAAGCCAAUGACGGGUCGCUGGUCGGUGAGGACGGCCAGCCAGACUGGGACUGGGACCCGGCCCAGACUCCUACGGGAGGCAGCAGCAAGGAAUUUUCGGCAAGGGGCGCAAGCCUGACCGGGCAACGCCGGGGGAAGGAAGACGGCCUUGGGGUUGUAAACUGCUUUUGCUAGGGAUGAUAACGACCAGUACCUGGGGAAUCAGCCCCGGCAAACUCUGG
RNAcentral lists this ribosomal RNA (438 nucleotides) under uncultured bacterium. RNAcentral describes it as "partial 16S ribosomal RNA". It matches the Rfam family "Bacterial small subunit ribosomal RNA", at positions 29 to 506 of the family's 1533-position model. The record is from RNAcentral.